AGUGAACGCUGGCGGUAGGCCUAACACAUGCAAGUCGAACGGCAGCACAGGAGAGCUUGCUCUCUGGGUGGCGAGUGGCGGACGGGUGAGGAAUACAUCGGAAUCUACUCUGUCGUGGGGGAUAACGUAGGGAAACUUACGCUAAUACCGCAUACGACCUACGGGUGAAAGCAGGGGAUCUUCGGACCUUGCGCGAUUGAAUGAGCCGAUGUCGGAUUAGCUAGUUGGCGGGGUAAAGGCCCACCAAGGCGACGAUCCGUAGCUGGUCUGAGAGGAUGAUCAGCCACACUGGAACUGGGACGCGGUCCAGACGCCUACGGGAGGCAGCAGUUGGGAAUAUUGGACAAUGGGCGCAAGCCUGAUCCAGCCAUACCGCGUGGGUGAAGAAGGCCUUCGGGUUGUAAAGCCCUUUUGUUGGGAAAGAAAUCCAGCUGGCUAAUACCCGGUUGGGGUGACGGUACCCAAAGAAUAAGCACCGGCUAACUUCGUGCCAGCAGCCGCAGUAA
This 506-nucleotide ribosomal RNA is filed under the name uncultured bacterium. RNAcentral's name for it is "partial 16S ribosomal RNA". It matches the Rfam family "Bacterial small subunit ribosomal RNA", at positions 29 to 523 of the family's 1533-position model. The record is from RNAcentral.